GACGAACGCUGGCGGCGUGCUUAACACAUGCAAGUCGAACGGAAAGGCCUCUUUCGGGGGGUACUCGAGUGGCGAACGGGUGAGUAACACGUGAGUAACCUGCCCUUGACUUUGGGAUAACUUCAGGAAACUGGGGCUAAUACCGGAUAGGAGCUCCUGCUGCAUGGUGGGGGUUGGAAAGUUUCGGCGGUUGGGGAUGGACUCGCGACUUAUCAGCUUGUUGGUGGGGUAGUGGCUUACCAAGGCUUUGACGGGUAGCCGGCCUGAGAGGGUGACCGGCCACAUUGGGACUGAGAUACGGCCCAGACUCCUACGGGAGGCAGCAGUGGGGAAUAUUGCACAAUGGGUGGAAGCCUGAUGCAGCAACGCCGUGUGCGGGAUGACGGCCUUCGGGUUGUAAACCGCUUUCGCUCAUGACGAAGCUUUGUGUGACGGUAGUGGGUAAAGAAGCACCGGCUAACUACGUG
RNAcentral lists this ribosomal RNA (467 nucleotides) under uncultured bacterium. Its description in RNAcentral is "partial 16S ribosomal RNA". It matches the Rfam family "Bacterial small subunit ribosomal RNA", at positions 28 to 507 of the family's 1533-position model. The record is from RNAcentral.